This 75-nucleotide small nucleolar RNA is filed under the name Malurus cyaneus samueli. Its description in RNAcentral is "Small nucleolar RNA SNORD101 (ENSMCSG00000005671.1)". It matches the Rfam family "Small nucleolar RNA SNORD101". Rfam says of the family: snoRNA U101 is a member of the C/D class of snoRNA which contain the C (UGAUGA) and D (CUGA) box motifs and guide the 2'-O-methylation of rRNA and snRNAs. The precise target of this family is unknown. The record is from Rfam by way of RNAcentral. Lineage: Eukaryota; Metazoa; Chordata; Aves; Passeriformes; Maluridae.
GUUUGGGUGAUGACUUCACAAUUUGUCGGAUACCCCUACACUCAUUCUAUGAGUGAUAACUGUUGUCUGACAAAC